Molecule: ribosomal RNA, 451 nt
Filed under: uncultured bacterium
Lineage: Bacteria
Description: bacterial SSU rRNA
Rfam family: Bacterial small subunit ribosomal RNA
Source: RNAcentral
AGGAGGCAGCAGUGAGGAAUAUUGGUCAAUGGGCGAAAGCCUGAACCAGCAAUGCCGCGUGAGUGAUGAAGGCCUUCGGGUUGUAAAGCUCUGUCAGUGGGAACGAAUAAGCCGAUUAAUACUCGGUGGUGACGGUACCCACAAAGGAAGCACCGGCUAACUCUGUGCCAGCAGCCGCGGUAAUACAGAGGGUGCAAGCGUUGUUCGGAAUUACUGGGCGUAAAGCGCGUGUAGGCGGUCUAGCAAGUCGGGUGUGAAAUCCCUUGGCUUAACCAAGGAACUGCAUUCGAAACUACUAAACUUGAGUAUCGGAGGGGGUGGCGGAAUUCCCGGUGUAGAGGUGAAAUUCGUAGAUAUCGGGAGGAACACCUGUGGCGAAGGCGGCCACCUGGAAGAUUACUGACGCUGAGACGCGAAAGCGUGGGGAGCAAACAGGAUUAGAUACCCCGGU